This 30-nucleotide non-coding RNA is filed under the name Rattus norvegicus (Norway rat). Lineage: Eukaryota; Metazoa; Chordata; Mammalia; Rodentia; Muridae. The record is from RNAcentral.
UCCCAAACUGCCAGUUUGCAACCUGUCGUG